CACGUAGUUAGCCGGAGCUUAUCCUCAGGUACCGUCAAAUUCCUCUUUCUUCCCUGAUAAAAGAACUUUACAUUACGAAUAACUUCUUCGUUCACGCGGCGUUGCUCGGUCAGGGUUCCCCCCAUUGCCGAAAAUUCCCUACUGCUGCCUCCCGUAGGAGUAUGGACCGUUCUCAGUUCCAUUGUGGCCGUUCAACCUCUCAGUCCGGCUACGCAUCAUCGCCUUGGUAGGCCCUUACCCCACCAACUAGCUAAUGCGCCACAGGCCCCUCCUUAAGCAGAUCUCUCUUUUAAAUAUAAAAGAUUCUUCCUCUAUAUCCUAUCCAGUUUUAUCCAUCGUUUCCAAUGGCUAUCCUCGUCUUAAGGGUAGGUUACCUAUGUAUUACUCACCCGUUCGCCACUAAAGUACCCGAAGGUACUUCCCGUUCGACUUGCAUGUAUUAGGCACGCCGCCAGCGUUAAUCCUGAGCCAGGACUCAAACUUC
This 484-nucleotide ribosomal RNA is filed under the name uncultured Anaeroplasma sp. RNAcentral's name for it is "partial 16S ribosomal RNA". The record is from RNAcentral. Lineage: Bacteria; Bacillati; Mycoplasmatota; Mollicutes; Anaeroplasmatales; Anaeroplasmataceae.